This is a non-coding RNA of Schizophyllum amplum, 90 nucleotides long. The record is from the annotation of a GenBank genome assembly. Lineage: Eukaryota; Fungi; Basidiomycota; Agaricomycetes; Agaricales; Schizophyllaceae.
CCUUCUUUAGCUCAGUUGGAAGAGCAUCAGACUGUAAUCGGUUAUAAGAUCCACAUCUGGGGGUCGCCUGUUCGAACCAGGCAAGAAGGA